RNAcentral lists this ribosomal RNA (483 nucleotides) under uncultured bacterium. Its description in RNAcentral is "partial 16S ribosomal RNA". It matches the Rfam family "Bacterial small subunit ribosomal RNA", at positions 30 to 507 of the family's 1533-position model. The record is from RNAcentral.
AUUGAACGCUGGCGGCAGGCCUAACACAUGCCAGUCGAGCGGAUGAAGGGAGCUUGCUCCUGGAUUCAGCGGCGGACGGGUGAGUAAUGCCUAGGAAUCUGCCUGGUAGUGGGGGAUAACGUCCGGAAACGGGCGCUAAUACCGCAUACGUCCUGAGGGAGAAGGUGGGGGAUCUUCGGACCUCACGCUAUCAGAUGAGCCUAGGUCGGAUUAGCUAGUUGGUGGGGUAAAGGCCUACCAAGGCGACGAUCCGUAACUGGUCUGAGAGGAUGAUCAGUCACACUGGAACUGAGACACGGUCCAGACUCCUACGGGAGGCAGCAGUGGGAAUAUUGGACAAUGGGCGAAAGCCUGAUCCAGCCAUGCCGCGUGUGUGAAGAAGGUCUUCGGAUUGUAAAGCACUUUAAGUUGGGAGGAAGGGCAGUAAGUUAAUACCUUGCUGUUUUGACGUUACCAACAGAAUAAGCACCGGCUAACUUCGUG